GGAAACGGAUCUGGAGUCUGAAGGUGGGGUGUUGUCUGUUACUAUGAGUAAAAUAAAAAAGGGGAAAGUAAGAAAUCUAGGGUUUUAAAUAAAAGAGGGUUAAAAAAGUAAAUAAAAAAAUAAAAAAAAAAAGGUUAUUUUAGUAAUAUAGAAAAAAUUUAAAAAAAAUGGGGAGGUGGAGGCCAAAAAGGUGGAGGUGUAGGGAUCAACGCCCAACCAAAAGCGAUGCAUAGCAUGGGCCCAUUUAAAGAAAGUCUUUUCCCUCAUUAUUCAAAC
This 276-nucleotide long non-coding RNA is filed under the name Vigna radiata. RNAcentral describes it as "long non-coding RNA (VRAD_LNC018263)". Lineage: Eukaryota; Viridiplantae; Streptophyta; Magnoliopsida; Fabales; Fabaceae. The record is from RNAcentral.